This 370-nucleotide ribosomal RNA is filed under the name uncultured organism. RNAcentral describes it as "bacterial SSU rRNA". It matches the Rfam family "Bacterial small subunit ribosomal RNA", at positions 526 to 896 of the family's 1533-position model. The record is from RNAcentral.
CGUAGGGUGCAAGCGUUAAUCGGAAUUACUGGGCGUAAAGCGUGCGCAGGCGGUUGUGCAAGACAGAUGUGAAAUCCCCGGGCUCAACCUGGGAAUUGCAUUUGUGACUGCACGGCUAGAGUGUGUCAGAGGGGGGUAGAAUUCCACGUGUAGCAGUGAAAUGCGUAGAGAUGUGGAGGAAUACCGAUGGCGAAGGCAGCCCCCUGGGAUAACACUGACGCUCAUGCACGAAAGCGUGGGGAGCAAACAGGAUUAGAUACCCUGGUAGUCCACGCCCUAAACGAUGUCAACUAGUUGUCGGGUCUUAAUUGACUUGGUAACGCAGCUAACGCGUGAAGUUGACCGCCUGGGGAGUACGGUCGCAAGAUUA